UGGGAGGAAGUAGAAAGAAGACAUUGCUGGAAGCAGAGGGGAGUGGAAACUGGAGCAAGUUUAAAGUUAGGAUCAAAGAAGAGA
This is a long non-coding RNA of Rana temporaria (common frog), 84 nucleotides long. RefSeq lists it as uncharacterized. The record is from RefSeq and is a predicted model, not a curated record. NCBI's taxonomy places the organism in Eukaryota, Metazoa, Chordata, Amphibia, Anura, Ranidae. The transcript has 2 exons.